AACGAACGCUGGCGGCGCGCCUAAUACAUGUAAGUCGAGCGAGAAGGUGUAGCAAUACACUUGUAAAGCGGCGAACGGGUGAGGAAUACAUGGGUAAUCUACCAUCGAGUGGGGAAUAACCAACCGAAAGGUUGGCUAAUACCGCGUACGCCUCCGAGUCUUCGGGUUCGGAGGGAAAGCUGCACUGUGAGUGUAGCGCUCUUUGAUGAGCUCAUGUCCUAUCAGCUUGUUGGUAGGGUAACGGCCUACCAAGGCUUUGACGGGUAGCUGGUCUGAGAGGACGAUCAGCCACACUGGCACUGCGACACGGGCCAGACUCCUACGGGAGGCAGCAGUAAGGAAUAUUGCGCAAUGGGCGAAAGCCUGACGCAGCGACGCCGCGUGGGGGAGUGAAGGUCUUCGGAUUGUAAACCCCUUUCGGGUAGGGAAGAUGGAGCGAGCAAUCGUUCGGACGGUACCUCCAGAAGCAGCCACGGCCAACUUCGUGCCAGCAGC
RNAcentral lists this ribosomal RNA (495 nucleotides) under uncultured bacterium. Its description in RNAcentral is "bacterial SSU rRNA". It matches the Rfam family "Bacterial small subunit ribosomal RNA", at positions 29 to 515 of the family's 1533-position model. The record is from RNAcentral.